This 261-nucleotide ribosomal RNA is filed under the name uncultured archaeon. RNAcentral's name for it is "partial 16S ribosomal RNA". It matches the Rfam family "Archaeal small subunit ribosomal RNA", at positions 748 to 1008 of the family's 1478-position model. The record is from RNAcentral.
CAGCCGUAAACUAUGCGCGUUAGGUGUAAUGGUGACCACGAGUCACCGGGGUGCCGAAGGGAAACCGUGAAACGUGCCGCCUGGGAAGUACGGUCGCAAGGCUGAAACCUAAAGGAAUUGGCGGGGGAGCACCACAACGGGUGGAGCCUGCGGUUUAAUUGGACUCAACGCCGGAAAUCUCACCGGAUAGGACAGACAUAUGAUAGUCGGGCUGAAGACUCUACUUGAUGAUCUGAGAGGUGGUGCAUGGCGUCAGUGACU